GGGGCUCUAGCGGCGAGUAGGGCUUGGGAGAAUAGAAGGGAGAAUAGAAUGAAACGUUUUUUUGUGUAACCAGUGGUAUUGGUGGGUAAUUACCCACCAACUCCACGAGGAGGUUCAAAAGAGAGGUUUCUGGAGUAGCAAAAGAGGUGCUCCAAAACACCACCUCCAUUUGCACUACAGCUCCAUGGAGUUGGCAACUCCA
This 202-nucleotide long non-coding RNA is filed under the name Setaria viridis. RNAcentral describes it as "long non-coding RNA (SVIR_LNC007625)". Lineage: Eukaryota; Viridiplantae; Streptophyta; Magnoliopsida; Poales; Poaceae. The record is from RNAcentral.